This 592-nucleotide ribosomal RNA is filed under the name Fissurina rufula. RNAcentral's name for it is "SSU rRNA". It matches the Rfam family "Bacterial small subunit ribosomal RNA", at positions 518 to 1144 of the family's 1533-position model. Lineage: Eukaryota; Fungi; Ascomycota; Lecanoromycetes; Ostropales; Graphidaceae. The record is from RNAcentral.
CGGUAACACAUGUAAGACUGGUGUUAUUCRUCUUUAAUCGGUUUAAAGGGUACCUAGACAGUUAAUUAAGCCUYUAAAAGGUACUAAUAAACUAGAGUUUAAUAUAAGAAGAAGAGUACGGUGAGUGUAAAGAUAAAAUUUUGWGAUMCCACUUAGAAACUGGCAAAAGSGAAGGCAAUCUUCUAUGUAAAAACUGACGUUGAGGGACGAAGGCUUGUUAAAAAUAAUAGGAUUAGAUACCCUAGUAUUGUGAGCAGACAAUGAUGAAUGCCAUAUGCAAGAAUUUAUUUUUUGUGUAUAAAUGAAAGUGUAAGCAUUCCACCUCAAGAGUAAUAUGGCAACAUAUAAACUGAAAUCAUUAGACCGUUUCUGAAACUCGUAGUGAAGUAUGUUGUUUAAUUUGAUGAUYCACAAAGAACCUUACCACAAUUUGAAUGUUUAUAUACAAAKUUAUAUAUUUUKGKAUAUGUGUGUAUAUAGAUACAAGCGUUGCACGGCUGUCUUCAGUUAAUGUCGUGAGACUUUGGUUAGAUCCAUUAAAUUAACGUAUAACCUUUAUUUUAUUUARUAUAAAAUAGUUCGCCGCUAUAUU